UGCCCUGUGGUGUAACUGGCAGCACAGCAGAUUUUGAGUCUGCCUGUCCGGGUUCAAAUCCUGGCGGGGCAA
Molecule: transfer RNA, 72 nt
Filed under: Planctomycetaceae bacterium
Lineage: Bacteria; Pseudomonadati; Planctomycetota; Planctomycetia; Planctomycetales; Planctomycetaceae
Description: tRNA-Gln
Rfam family: tRNA
About the family: Transfer RNA (tRNA) molecules are approximately 80 nucleotides in length.
Source: RNAcentral